Molecule: long non-coding RNA, 942 nt
Organism: Apodemus sylvaticus (European woodmouse)
Lineage: Eukaryota; Metazoa; Chordata; Mammalia; Rodentia; Muridae
Exons: 3
Source: RefSeq, a predicted model, not a curated record
AGGUAGUGGAAGUGUGGGCCGGAAAUUAACUGUCAAAUGACGAGGCUUAGUUUGUGCCUGUGUGGCUUUAAGCAAGACGGGAAAUAAAACCCGGCUCUCUUUAGAGAGUAACAGGUGUUUAAAAGACAUCUCAGCUCUUGUCUCCAUCCAUUUUCAUUCUGACCCUGCACCGUCCCCCAUGACUCCUGACACUGAAGACGCCCUGCUCCUUCCCUCUUCCGUCCUUUGGCUCAGCAGGGCCCUUGCAACUUUGUGGUAAUGAAGACAGGGUGAACUGACCUGCCAGGCUGCCCAGGACUUUAUCUUGGAUGAGGGUGUCCAUCUUUACUCUCGAAGCACGGAAACUCUGUUCCUUUUUCAGACACUCCUCCCAGACACUCCGCUGACAGAAAGGGGACUGAGAGGGGACUCUGCUUGAUAAACACCUGUGUGUGCCCUGUUCAGUGGAACUGGAACUGGGGGAGGAACAAGCCUGUUAUGAUACCCGCUCUGCUGGAAUGUGACCCACACACACAUUACCCUUGUAACAAGUUGACAAAAGAACAUCAUCAACAGUAACAUCAACAACAAUAAUAACAUCAACAACUACAACAACAGCAACAACAGCAACAACAACAGUAACAGCAUCAACAACAGCAACAGCAACUACUACUACUACCACCACCAGCACUCAGGGCCUCAUGUAGCCCAGGCUAGCCUCAACUUUACUAUGUAGCUGAGGAUGACCUUGAAUGUCUCAUCUUCCUACCUCCUGGAAUACUGGGAUAUACGUGUGCACCAUCAGGCCUGGUUCAUGCGGACUGGAGGAAGAUGCACGUCAGAGCCUAGUGUGUGCUAGGCUAGCACUAUUCUAACUGAGCUACACCCCUAACCCUGAUUGCAAAUGUUCCUCCGCAUUUUAUUAGCCAUCUCUUCACCUUCCUGCUGCUGUCCUUCAAGACA